GCGGCAAGAGCUCAACUUUGGAAUCGCUCCGGCGAGUUGUAGUCUGGAGGUGGCCACCACGAGGUGUUCUAGCAGCAGGCAAGUCCUUUGGAACAAGGCGCCAGCGAGGGUGACAGCCCCGUACCUGCUUUUGCUAGUGCUUCCUGUGGCCCACCGACGAGUCGAGUUGUUUGGGAAUGCAGCUCUAAGUGGGUGGUAAAUUCCAUCUAAGGCUAAAUAUUGGCGAGAGACCGAUAGCGAACAAGUACAGUGAUGGAAAGAUGAAAAGCACUUUGAAAAGAGAGUGAAACAGUACGUGAAAUUGUUGAAAGGGAAGGGCUUGCACCCAGACACGGUUUCGGCCGGGCCAGCAUCAAGUAGAACGGGGUUAAAAGACUUGGGGAAUGUAGCUACUUCGGUAGUGUUAUAGCCCUUGGUGAUGACCCCUGUUUUGCUUGAGGACAGCGGUCUCUAGGAUGCUGGCGCAAUGGUUGCAAGCCACCCGU
This 485-nucleotide ribosomal RNA is filed under the name Candidozyma auris. RNAcentral describes it as "LSU rRNA". It matches the Rfam family "Eukaryotic large subunit ribosomal RNA", at positions 98 to 652 of the family's 3401-position model. Lineage: Eukaryota; Fungi; Ascomycota; Pichiomycetes; Serinales; Metschnikowiaceae. The record is from RNAcentral.